This is a long non-coding RNA of Xenopus tropicalis (tropical clawed frog), 707 nucleotides long. RefSeq lists it as uncharacterized. The record is from RefSeq and is a predicted model, not a curated record. The transcript has 3 exons. NCBI's taxonomy places the organism in Eukaryota, Metazoa, Chordata, Amphibia, Anura, Pipidae.
UAGACAUACAGGAGAGAGGCUUUAAUAGUGUUACACACCCCCUUGGUACAUAAUGAAUGAAAACACUAGUCUUCAGGGUGGAAUUGUUACACCUCAGGAGCCAAUAAAAACGUUGCUGUAAUUAGUGUGAAUUAUAGAUGCCAUUUUAUAGCCGAGUGCUGAUUGGUUGCUGUUUCUGACUAGCCCAGAGACUGACAACACUUCAGUGAUGUGACGGUGAGUGAGUGAGAGGGCGAGUGUGACAGGACCUUUUAUUUAGCCAUAUUUUUGCUUCAUUGCAGCAGAGAAGAGACAGCUGCUCGAUUUGCAGCCCUCACUUCAUCACUCGCUGCCGUCACGUCCCUGCAGUACUGCGUUGGGAUAUGAAAUAUGGGCCAGGCCGGUGAUACGGGCCGCACUGCCGUACUCCUCCCUCCCUGCCCACUUAAUGAACUUCAGGCGCGGACAGUGACAGUUCAGAGGCGAGCAAAGCUGCCGGGAAUUGCCUUCAACCCAAACACAGUCCAGUGAUACCGACACUAUGACAUGGCUUUGGGGCCUGGGAGUGGAGAGCUGGCAGAAUGGCGCUACCACUAACCCAGUAGUGGAAGGAAGCAGUGCUCCACCUCUCUCCAGAUCAUCAUGACUACAGAUCUGCAACAUUAAAAGAACAGGGGAAGUGACCCAGAGGAGGGAAGAUGAUAGUGAUACACUCCAGGAUCAUAAAG